RNAcentral lists this ribosomal RNA (356 nucleotides) under uncultured Anaerolineaceae bacterium. RNAcentral describes it as "bacterial SSU rRNA". It matches the Rfam family "Bacterial small subunit ribosomal RNA", at positions 1014 to 1382 of the family's 1533-position model. The record is from RNAcentral. Lineage: Bacteria; Bacillati; Chloroflexota; Anaerolineae; Anaerolineales; Anaerolineaceae.
GUUCGGUCUCGGAGUCGGUGACGAGGUGCGUGCAUGGCUGUCGUCAGCUCGUGUCGUGAGAUGUUCGGUUAAGUCCGCUAACGAGCGCAACCCUCGCCGUAUGUUACAAGUGUCAUACGGGACUGCCGGUAAAAAGCCGGAGGAAGGUGAGGAUGAUGUCAAGUCAGCAUGACCUUUAUAUCCAGGGCUACACACACGCUACAAUGGUCUGUACAAUUGGUUGCCAAGCCGCGAGGCGGAGCCAAUCCGUAAAGCAGGCCUCAGUUCAGAUUGCAGUCUGCAACUCGACUGCAUGAAGCCGGAGUUGCUAGUAACCGCAGGUCAGCAAUACUGCGGUGAAUACGUUCCCGGGUCUU